AUGGGGCCCGCCGCUGUACAGGCUCCCAGGGAGGGUAUUCAAGAUGCUCUACGCCCACCAGCACGAUGGGCUCAGUUGGCUCUGGUCGCUGCACUGCAGGGGAACCGGCGGGAUCCUAGGGGACGACAUGGGACUCGGCAAGACCAUGCAGGUUUCUGCCUUUUUGGCAGGGUUGUUCCAUUCCAGUUUGAUCAGGAAGGUGCUAGUCGUCGCCCCAAAGACACUUCUCACCCAUUGGAUCAAGGAGCUUUAAGUUGUCGGCCUCAGCCACAUGAUAUGCGAAAAAUGUGGGCGAUUUUCAAUUUCUGUUGCCCGGAAGCCAUGGGUGAUGAGGAAGAAACAAGGUAUCAACGGCCUAUCAGUCGAGGAAAUGACAAGACCGCAAGCAAUCGAGAGAAGCACAUACGCUCAAAUGCAGCGAAGGAAUUAAGAGAACGGAUAAAGCCAAAUUUCUUGCGACGCAUGAAAAGUGAAGUGUCCCUUGAGACUGGGUUGACAGAUGAUAAAAAGCUUCCAAAGAAGGAUGAGCUAAUUAUCUGGCUGAAAUUAACAGAUUGCCAGAGACGUCUAUAUGAAGCUUUUCUGAACAGUGAGCUAGUUCAAUUUGAAUCGGAAGGAAAUCCCUUGGCUGCUCUUAAUGUAUUGAAAAAAAUAUGUGAUCACCCACUGAUAUGCACUCAGAGAGCUGCUGGGGACAUCUUGGAAGGCAUGGAUGGAGAUUUUAGUACUCAGGAUAUAGUGAUGGUUGAAAAAAUGGCCAUGAACCUCGCAGAUAUGGCUCAUGAUGAUGAUGCAGUACAGUUCAGUCAGGAAGUCUCAUGCAAGUUAUCUUUUAUCCUGUCUUUGUUGCCGAAUCUUCUUGAAGAGGGCCACAAUGUUCUGAUAUUUUCUCAGACUUGUAAAAUGCUAAACCUUAUUCAGGAAGCUAUAAUAUUAGAGGGCUACGACUUUUCUCGCAUGGAUGGUGGCAUCACUGAUAUUUCCGAGAGGGAAAGGAUUGUGAAGGAUUUUCAAGAGGGCUACGGAGGUCAAAUAUUUUUACUGACCACAAAGGUCGGUGGUCUUGGACUUACACUCACCAAGGCAGCUCGUGUCAUACUAGUCGAUCCUGCUUGGAAUCCAAGUACGGAUAAUCAGAGCGUUGAUUGGGUUGAUCGAAUUGGACAGACCAAAGAAGUGAUUGUGUACCGCUUAAUGACCUCUGCAACUGUCGAAGAAAAGAUGUAUAAAUCGCAGGUCCUCAAGGGUGGUUUGUUUAGGGCAGCCACGGAGAAGAAAGAACAGAGACGUUACUUCAGCCAGAGCGACCUUUGGGAGCUUUUCAGUAUGCCGGAACAAGGUUUUGAUGUUUCCCUCACGCAGAAACAACUGCAAGAAGAGCAUGGACAGCAGCUUGACAUGGACGAGUCGUUGCGGGAGCACAUCCAGUUUCUGGAGAAGCAAGGAAUAGCAGGUGUGAGCCAUCACAGCCUCCUAUUUUCAGAAACAGAAAUCUUGCCGAUGUUGAGUGAGAACGAUGCUCCGGGCAGGGGUGCCCAUGGUAAGCCGAAGGUCGAGGGCGUCACUGCUAGAACACACUUGGCAGGCAAGAACACAGAUUCAGAUAUCCCUGAAGAAAUCAACUGGCUGUCGGAAACCCUCGCGAGCACGACGCUGGAGCCGAGCCUGCCUCAGUGUGGAGACGGGACACAUGGUUUGGAUGACAAAAGCUGGCGGUGA
RNAcentral lists this ribosomal RNA (1719 nucleotides) under Triticum aestivum (bread wheat). Its description in RNAcentral is "partial small subunit ribosomal RNA". Lineage: Eukaryota; Viridiplantae; Streptophyta; Magnoliopsida; Poales; Poaceae. The record is from RNAcentral.